CCUACGGGAGGCAGCAGUCGAGAAUCAUUCACAAUGGGGGAAACCCUGAUGGUGCGACGCCGCGUGGGGGAAUGAAGGUCUUCGGAUUGUAAACCCCUGUCAUGUGGGAGCAAAUUAAAAAGAUAGUACCACAAGAGGAAGAGACGGCUAACUCUGUGCCCGCAGCCGCGGUAAUCCAGAGGUCUCAAGCGUUGUUCGGAAUCACUGGGCGUAAAGCGUGCGUAGGCUGUUUCGUAAGUCGUGUGUGAAAGGCGCGGGCUCAACCCGCGGACGGCACAUGAUACUGCGAGACUAGAGUAAUGGAGGGGGAACCGGAAUUCUCGGUGUAGCAGUGAAAUGCGUAGAUAUCGAGAGGAACACUCGUGGCGAAGGCGGGUUCCUGGACAUUAACUGACGCUGAGGCACGAAGGCCAGGGGAGCGAAAGGGAUUAGAUACCCUGGUAGUC
Molecule: ribosomal RNA, 446 nt
Filed under: uncultured bacterium
Lineage: Bacteria
Description: partial 16S ribosomal RNA
Rfam family: Bacterial small subunit ribosomal RNA
Source: RNAcentral